RNAcentral lists this ribosomal RNA (522 nucleotides) under uncultured bacterium. RNAcentral's name for it is "bacterial SSU rRNA". It matches the Rfam family "Bacterial small subunit ribosomal RNA", at positions 8 to 518 of the family's 1533-position model. The record is from RNAcentral.
AGAGUUUGAUUCUGGCUCAGGAUGAACGCUAGCUACAGGCUUAACACAUGCAAGUCGAGGGGCAGCAUGAUCGAAGCUUGCUUUGAUUGAUGGCGACCGGCGCACGGGUGAGUAACGCGUAUCCAACCUUCCCUAUAGUAGAGAAUAGCCCGGCGAAAGUCGGAUUAAUGCUCUAUGUUGUAUUUAGAGGACAUCUGAAGAAUACCAAAGGUUUACCGCUAUAGGAUGGGGAUGCGUCUGAUUAGGUAGUAGGCGGGGUAACGGCCCACCUAGCCGACGAUCAGUAGGGGUUCUGAGAGGAAGGUCCCCCACAUUGGAACUGAGACACGGUCCAAACUCCUACGGGAGGCAGCAGUGAGGAAUAUUGGUCAAUGGACGGAAGUCUGAACCAGCCAAGUAGCCGUGCAGGAUGACGGCCCUAUGGGUUGUAAACUGCUUUUAUAUAGGGAUAAAGUCGGGGACGUGUCCCCGUUUGUAGGUACUAUAUGAAUAAGGACCGGCUAACUCCGUGCCAGCAGCCGC